RNAcentral lists this ribosomal RNA (1600 nucleotides) under fermentation metagenome. RNAcentral's name for it is "bacterial LSU rRNA". It matches the Rfam family "Bacterial large subunit ribosomal RNA", at positions 829 to 2442 of the family's 2925-position model. The record is from RNAcentral.
CCAAUCGAACUCGGAGAUAGCUGGUUCUCCUCGAAAUAGCUUUAGGGCUAGCCUUUGAUCAAAGAUACACGGAGGUAGAGCACUGAAUGUUCUAGGGACCUUCACCGGUUACCGAAAACUAUCAAACUCCGAAUGCCGUGCAAUCAUAUCAGGGAGUCAGACUACGGGAGAUAAGUUUCGUGGUCGAAAGGGAAACAGCCCAGACCUACAGCUAAGGUCCCAAAAUGUAAGUUAAGUGGAAAAGGAUGUGGAGCUGCAUAAACAGCUAGGAUGUUGGCUCAGAAGCAGCCACUCAUUCAAAGAGUGCGUAACAGCUCACUAGUCGAGUGACUCCGCGCCGAAGAUAAUCGGGGCUAAAACUUACUACCGAAGCUUAGGAAUUGAUUUUAAUUAAUUGGUAGAGGAGCAUCGUAUGCAGGCAGAAGGAGAGGCGUAAGCCGAUCUGGACAGUAUACGAGAGAGAAUGUUGGCAUGAGUAGCGAGAGGCAGGUGAGAAUCCUGUCCACCGAAAAUCUGAGGUUUCCUGAGGAAGGUUCGUCCGCUCAGGGUCAGUCGGGACCUAAGCCGAGGUCGAAAGACGUAGGCGAUGGACAGCAGGUUGAGAUUCCUGCACCACCGAAAUUCAUUUGAACGAUGUGGGGACACAGAAGGAUAAGCAGAGCGCACCGCUGGUCGAGUGCGUCCAAGCGUCAAGUCAGUCAUGGUAGGCAAAUCCGCCGUGAUAAUGAUGAGGCGUGAUGGGGAGGGAAGUUUAGUACCGGAAGCUGCUGAUUCCACACUGUCGAGAAAAGCCACUAGUGAGAACGUAGGUGCCCGUACCGCAAACCGACACAGGUAGAUGAGGAGAGAAUCCUAAGGUGAUCGAGAGAACUAUUGUUAAGGAACUCGGCAAAAUAACCCCGUAACUUCGGAAUAAGGGGUACCUCGCGAGAGGUCGCAGUGAAUAGGCCCAGGCGACUGUUUACCAAAAACACAGGUCUCUGCUAAAGCGAAAGCUGAUGUAUAGGGGCUGACGCCUGCCCGGUGCUGGAAGGUUAAGGGGAUCCGUUAACGUAAGUGAAGCGGUGAACUUAAGCCCCAGUAAACGGCGGCCGUAACUAUAACGGUCCUAAGGUAGCGAAAUUCCUUGUCAGGUAAGUUCUGACCCGCACGAAAGGCGUAACGAUCUGGGCACUGUCUCAACAAUAGACUCGGUGAAAUUGUAGUACCGGUAAAGAUGCCGGUUACCCGCAGCAGGACGGAAAGACCCCAUGGAGCUUUACUGCAGUUUGAUAUUGAGUUUCGGCAUUGCACGUACAGGAUAGGUGGGAGACUAUGAAGUAAGGGCGUCAGUCUUUAUGGAGUCACCGGUGGGAUACCACCCUUGUAAUGUUGGAAUUCUAACCGCAUACCGUGAACCGGUAUCGGGACAGUGUCUGACGGGCAGUUUGACUGGGGCGGUCGCCUCCCAAAGAGUAACGGAGGCGCCCAAAGGUUCCCUCAGUGCGGACGGAAAUCGCACGCAGAGUGUAAAGGCAGAAGGGAGCUUGACUGCGAGACAUACAGGUCGAGCAGGGACGAAAGUCGGGCUUAGUGAUCCGGUGGUACCGAGUGGAAGGGC